RNAcentral lists this ribosomal RNA (381 nucleotides) under uncultured eukaryote. Its description in RNAcentral is "partial 18S ribosomal RNA". It matches the Rfam family "Eukaryotic small subunit ribosomal RNA", at positions 592 to 976 of the family's 1831-position model. The record is from RNAcentral.
CAAUAGCGUAUAUUAAAGCUGUUGCGGUUAAAAAGCUCGUAGUUGGAUUUCUGUCAAGGACAACUGGUCCGCCCUCCGGGUGAGCACAUAGUUUGGUCUUGGCAUCUUGCUGGAAACUGUUGCUGCACUUGGUUGUGUGGCGCAGCAUCCAGCACUUUCACUUUGAGGAAAUUGGAGUGUUUCAAGCAGGCACAUGCCUUUGGACACAGUAGCAUGGAAUAAUUAGAUUGGGCUUUUGCUCCAAUUUGUCGGUUUCUGGAGCUGAGGUGAGAAUUAAUGGGGAUUGUUGGGGGCAUCCGAAUUUAGUCGUCAGAGGUGAAAUUCUUGGAUCUGCUAAAGACGGACAACUGCGAAAGCGUUUGCCCAGGAUGUUUUCAUUGA